Frieseomelitta varia is the source of this 266-nucleotide long non-coding RNA. RefSeq lists it as uncharacterized. The transcript is spliced from 3 exons. NCBI's taxonomy places the organism in Eukaryota, Metazoa, Arthropoda, Insecta, Hymenoptera, Apidae. The record is from RefSeq and is a predicted model, not a curated record.
UUAUAUAUUAUAUUUCAAUGUAUUUUAUUCUAUGCAUAUUCUUAAGAAUAUAUUCUAAUAUCACGCCAUUUAUUACAGAUUUUUCACAACUACCAUUUUUUCCUGUUUUUUGGGAAGGAGAUGCUAGUGCUUCAAAACUAAACAUGUUACUACUCCUUCCUUCUGUUUCGUUCCCUGGAAAGGAUGUAAUGAUGCACUAAAAGCCAAGAGUAUUCUUGUCAGCCUUCAUUUCUUUCCUUCGACGAUUCCUGUUGACUAAUGGGCUU